UCCGUAGCUCAGCUGGAUAGAGUACCUGGCUACGAACCAGGCGGUCAGAGGUUCGAAUCCUCUCGGA
RNAcentral lists this transfer RNA (67 nucleotides) under Vibrio cholerae O1 biovar El Tor. RNAcentral's name for it is "tRNA-Arg". It matches the Rfam family "tRNA". Rfam says of the family: Transfer RNA (tRNA) molecules are approximately 80 nucleotides in length. Lineage: Bacteria; Pseudomonadati; Pseudomonadota; Gammaproteobacteria; Vibrionales; Vibrionaceae. The record is from RNAcentral.